Molecule: long non-coding RNA, 545 nt
Filed under: Ursus maritimus (polar bear)
Lineage: Eukaryota; Metazoa; Chordata; Mammalia; Carnivora; Ursidae
Description: lncRNA (ENSUMAG00000009728.1)
Source: RNAcentral
GAUUUUGUUUGAGAAGAGGCAGGAAAGUGGAGACGACUUGGAAAACCUGGAACAUCGGGAAAAUCCUUGCUGACGUAUCCUGAGCGAUUUCUGAGUGUUCAGUAUUUCAUGAUGAGAUUGUGAGUGGGCAUCCGAUUCGGAGUGUCCUGCUUAGUGACCUCGCCGGAGCCCCGAUCCACUGAAGUGUGAGUGCGUGUGCCGAGGGCCAGACGUCAGGAAGCAGAAGGCCCUGUGGAGUGAGUGGCCCUUGCUUUGAACAGGAGCAGGAUAAUCAAGCCUUUCUUAUCACAACCCAUUACAGAACUACAUUCGGAGGACCCACUUCAAAUCGAAAUGUAUGAAGUAGAAAGUAAAGACCCUGCAUAAUCUCUCCCCCCACCAAGAUAACCAGUGUUCAGAGUGUUUUCUCCUAUGGAUGAACAGUACACCUAGAGACGGAUAAAUAUCACACAAAUACAGUCCAGUGCCUGGCACCUAGAAGGGUCGGUACGUGUUUGCUGAAAGACUGUACAUACACACUGAAUAAAUACAUAGGUUGUAGUUCA